CCACUCUCACCUGUGUGAACCUCAGCAAAGCCUGUGCGAAGGCCUGGCAGCCCAACAACGAAGCCCUGGUCCAGAAAUGCUGUCCAGCCAGAGAUCAUGCAGUGAAUAAGGAGAGGUGGAUCCUCCACCCAGAAAGAUCAGAACUGGAGAGUCAUCUUUCUUAUUAGAGGGAGUUCAUUUCUUUGGCUUUUUUCCACUGGACUUGGACAUAGAUGGAGAGAGGGAGGAAGUCUGUGAGGCAGUCUCUCAGGGCAGGCCCCUUCCCUCUCCCCCUUUCUUCAGGACAUUGACAGUAAGCUGACUGUUCACAGGAACACAGUGUCUCUGUGUCCACCAACCUGGUCACAAGAAGACUGCUUGGGCUGGAAUCUAUCCUGUCCUUGGGCAUCAUCCCCAGCUGCCCUCUAUAGCUCCACAUGCUGGGAACUCUGAAGAUUUCUACAUCUAAUGCAAAGCUUGAGGAGCAACUCCAAUCAG
Long non-coding RNA from Equus quagga, 477 nucleotides. RefSeq lists it as uncharacterized. The record is from RefSeq and is a predicted model, not a curated record. Lineage: Eukaryota; Metazoa; Chordata; Mammalia; Perissodactyla; Equidae. The transcript is spliced from 3 exons.